GACGAACGCUGGCGGCGUGCUUAACACAUGCAAGUCGAACGGAAAGGCCCUGCUUUUGUGGGGUGCUCGAGUGGCGAACGGGUGAGUAACACGUGAGUAACCUGCCCUUGACUUUGGGAUAACUUCAGGAAACUGGGGCUAAUACCGGAUAGGAGCUCCUGCUGCAUGGUGGGGGUUGGAAAAUUUCGGCGGUUGGGGAUGGACUCGCGGCUUAUCAGCUUGUUGGUGGGGUAGUGGAUUACCAAGGCUUUGACGGGUAGCCGGCCUGAGAGGGUGACCGGCCACAUUGGGACUGAGAUACGGCCCAGACUCCUACGGGAGGCAGCAGUGGCGAAUAUUGCACAAUGGGCGGAAGCCUGAUGCAGCAACGCCGCGUGCGGGAUGACGGCCGUCGGGUUGUAAACCGCUUUCGCCUGUGACGAAGCGUGAGUGACGGUAAUGGGUAAAGAAGCACCGGCUAACUACGCG
Molecule: ribosomal RNA, 468 nt
Filed under: uncultured bacterium
Lineage: Bacteria
Description: partial 16S ribosomal RNA
Rfam family: Bacterial small subunit ribosomal RNA
Source: RNAcentral